Molecule: ribosomal RNA, 252 nt
Filed under: uncultured bacterium
Lineage: Bacteria
Description: partial 16S ribosomal RNA
Rfam family: Bacterial small subunit ribosomal RNA
Source: RNAcentral
UACGGAGGAUGCGAGCGUUAUCCGGAUUUAUUGGGUUUAAAGGGUGCGCAGGCGGCACGGCAAGCCGGCGGUCAAAUCACGGGGCUCAACCCCGCCCAGCCGUCGGAACUGCCGGGCUAGAGUGGGCGAGAAGUGCGCGGAAUGCGUGGUGUAGCGGUGAAAUGCAUAGAUAUCACGCAGAACUCCGAUUGCGAAGGCAGCGCACCGGCGCCCUACUGACGCUCAGGCACGAAAGCGUGGGUAUCGAACAGG